GUCCGCGAAGUAUAGACGUUAUAAACGUAGUUUGAUUAUGACGUUUUAACAGUCAUUUAUACAAACCAAAAAUGAACACGCCGGUUUUUGAUUAAAAACUUUUGAACCAAAUUUGAAUAACUUAAAUCUAACCGUGCUUUGUCGGUUAGAGAAAAAUGUGUUUUAUUUCGGUAGCUGGAAAAAGAACUGCUGCAGUCGAUCGUUUUACUAUAGGCCUAAUAGAUACAAGUAGUAUUCGCAUAUUUAGAUAUCCUGUAUCCUGCUUUUAUUGGAAGCGAACGGAUACAUUUGAAUCAUUGUUUAUGUUGCAGUUUAGUUUGCGGUUCCCUUUAAAAUGUCGCUUUUAUUGAAAAGUAGCGUGUACAAUAUAAAGGUACAUAUUUUCAUGUGUAAGUUA
RNAcentral lists this long non-coding RNA (397 nucleotides) under Mytilus galloprovincialis (Mediterranean mussel). Lineage: Eukaryota; Metazoa; Mollusca; Bivalvia; Mytilida; Mytilidae. The record is from RNAcentral.